GGCUUGUGGCUCAGUGGUAGAGUGCUUGCCUAGGAUGUGCGAAGUGCUGGGUUCAAUCCUCAGCACCA
Molecule: transfer RNA, 68 nt
Filed under: Marmota monax (woodchuck)
Lineage: Eukaryota; Metazoa; Chordata; Mammalia; Rodentia; Sciuridae
Description: tRNA.Pro
Source: RNAcentral